AACGAACGCUGGCGGCAGGCUUAACACAUGCAAGUCGAACGCCCCGCAAGGGGAGUGGCAGACGGGUGAGUAACACGUGGGAACAUGCCCAAAGGUACGGAAUAUUCUCGGGAAACUGAGAGCAAUACCGUAUGUGCCCGAAAGGGGAAAGAUUUAUCGCCUUUGGAUUGGCCCGCGUCGGAUUAGCUAGUUGGUGGGGUAAAAGCCUACCAAGGCGACGAUCCGUAGCUGGUCUGAGAGGACGCCCAGCCACACCGGGACUGAGACACGGCCCAGACUCCUCCGGGACGCAGCAGUGGGGAAUCUUGGACCAUGGGCGCAAGCCUGAUCCGGCCAUGCCGCGUGGAUGAUGAGGGCCCUAGGGUUGUAAAGUCCUUUCGUUGGGGACGAUAAUGACGGUACCCAAAGAAGAAGCUCCGGCUAACUUCGCG
RNAcentral lists this ribosomal RNA (431 nucleotides) under uncultured bacterium. RNAcentral describes it as "partial 16S ribosomal RNA". It matches the Rfam family "Bacterial small subunit ribosomal RNA", at positions 29 to 507 of the family's 1533-position model. The record is from RNAcentral.